CACCGCGGUUAUACGAGGGGCCCGAGCUGACAGUCCCCGGCGUAAAGCGUGGUUAAGGUACACCCCUAAUACAAAUUAAAGUCGAAUGCCCUCAAAGCUGUUAUACGCUCUCGAAGGCAAGAAGCCCACUCACGUAAGUAACUUUAUUAAACUGAACCCACGAAAGCUGCGGCA
Molecule: ribosomal RNA, 174 nt
Filed under: Lophiomus setigerus (blackmouth angler)
Lineage: Eukaryota; Metazoa; Chordata; Actinopteri; Lophiiformes; Lophiidae
Description: partial 12S rRNA
Source: RNAcentral